Molecule: ribosomal RNA, 279 nt
Filed under: uncultured bacterium
Lineage: Bacteria
Description: partial 16S ribosomal RNA
Rfam family: Bacterial small subunit ribosomal RNA
Source: RNAcentral
UGCCAGCAGCCGCGGUAAUACGAAGGGCCCGAGCGUUAAUCGGAAUCACUGGGCUUAAAGGGUGCGCAGGCGGACCCGCAAGCAUGUCGUGAAAGCCCCCGGCUCAACCGGGGAACUGCGAUGUGAACUGCGGGUCUUGAGGCAGGUAGGGGUCGAUGGAACCAUGGGUGGAACGGUGAAACGUGUAGAUAUCCAUGGGAACGCCAAUGGCGAAGGCAAUCGACUGGGCCUGUCCUGACGCUCAUGCACGAAAGCGUGGGGAGCGAACGGGAUUAGAUA